RNAcentral lists this non-coding RNA (28 nucleotides) under Bombyx mori (domestic silkworm). The record is from RNAcentral. Lineage: Eukaryota; Metazoa; Arthropoda; Insecta; Lepidoptera; Bombycidae.
UAUACUUUAGCCUUAAGGUAGCCCCAAA